CAAUAACGGGGUCAUCCCGGCACUUAUCAGGCUGAUAACGGUAUACCGAUGGACUGAUGCCAACAACGCGGCAGGCAAGUCGGAUACUGGUUUGAUGUACAUUGAGCACAUAAUCAACCAGUUCACGCCUGACCGCUGGCUUC
RNAcentral lists this small RNA (143 nucleotides) under Shewanella sediminis HAW-EB3. RNAcentral describes it as "isrN Hfq binding RNA". It matches the Rfam family "isrN Hfq binding RNA". The record is from Rfam by way of RNAcentral. Lineage: Bacteria; Pseudomonadati; Pseudomonadota; Gammaproteobacteria; Alteromonadales; Shewanellaceae.